This 468-nucleotide ribosomal RNA is filed under the name uncultured bacterium. Its description in RNAcentral is "partial 16S ribosomal RNA". It matches the Rfam family "Bacterial small subunit ribosomal RNA", at positions 28 to 507 of the family's 1533-position model. The record is from RNAcentral.
GACGAACGCUGGCGGCGUGCUUAACACAUGCAAGUCGAACGGAAAGGCCCUGCUUUUGUGGGGUGCUCGAGUGGCGAACGGGUGAGUAACACGUGAGUAACCUGCCCUUGACUUUGGGAUAACUUCAGGAAACUGGGGCUAUUACCGGGUAGAAGCUCUUGCAGCACGGUGGGGGUUGGAAAGUUUCGGCGUUGGGGGAUGGUCUCGCGGCUUACCAGCUUGUUGGUGGGGUAGUGGCUUACCAAGCUUUUGACGGGUAGCCGGCCUGAGAGGGUGACCGGCGACAUUGGGACUGAGAUACGGCCCAGACUCCUACGGGAGGCAGCAGUGGGGAAUAUUGCACAAUGGGCGGAAGCCUGAUGCAGCAACGCCGCGUGCGGGAUGACGGCCUUCGGGUUGUAAACCGCUUUCGCCUGUGACGAAGCGUGAGUGACGGUAAUGGGUAAAGAAGCACCGGCUAACUACGUG